This is a long non-coding RNA of Frieseomelitta varia, 536 nucleotides long. RefSeq lists it as uncharacterized. Lineage: Eukaryota; Metazoa; Arthropoda; Insecta; Hymenoptera; Apidae. The record is from RefSeq and is a predicted model, not a curated record. The transcript has 3 exons.
UAAAAAACGAAGAUCAUCGUGGAAGUUACUGAUAAGGGGACGAGUAGGGAGAUAGAGGCCUCGCAGGGGUUAGACACGGUGGAAAGGAUGAUGAAUCGUUCGUCGUUAGUGCCAACCGCGACCACCGUCUCUCCCACCCUCUCCACUCGCACACCACCUACGUACGUAUGCCUAGAUGGGAACGAUCCAACGACACGGUGUUCCGUUUUACACAAUCAGUAAACCGUUCUGCGACGAACCCACGCCACUCCAACGGGACGUAGGGAACGGUGGCAGUCGAAGACUCUGGAGGCGGGCUAAAUUUUAAUAAAGAGCGCGUUCUCUAAGCGGGGACAUCGGCGCACCAUAAUUCGGCAGCCGAUUCAGUCGGUCUCCUCUGUGUGACCGGCUCGAGCAACACGGAUACCAGUGGCAGCUAAUUAAGCCGCGUAAUGAGCUCGUCCCCGCCAGUUAAUUAUUUUCGAAAUGGUUUUUUCGACUGGCGAGGAAAUGGAUACCAGGAACGGUUUCCCUCCGACUGUUCACAAGCUCCUCCU